GUGAGGAAUUUUCCGCAAUGGGCGAAAGCCUGACGGAGCAAUGCCGCGUGAAGGAUGAAGGUCUUAGGAUUGUAAAAUUCUUUCACCGGGGACGAUAAUGACGGUACCCGGAGAAGAAGCUCCGGCUAACUUCGUGCCAGCAGCCGCGGUAAUACGAAGGGGGCUAGCGUUGCUCGGAAUUACUGGGCGUAAAGGGCGCGUAGGCGGAUCGUUAAGUCAGGUGUGAAAUCCCAGAGCUCAACUCUGGAACUGCCCUUGAUACUGGCGAUCUUGAGUGUGAGAGAGGUAUGUGGAACUCCGAGUGUAGAGGUGAAAUUCGUAGAUAUUCGGAAGAACACCAGUGGCGAAGGCGACAUACUGGCUCAUUACUGACGCUGAGGCGCGAAAGCGUGGGGAGCAAACAGGAUUAGAAACCCUGGUAGUCC
This 425-nucleotide ribosomal RNA is filed under the name uncultured bacterium. RNAcentral describes it as "partial 16S ribosomal RNA". It matches the Rfam family "Bacterial small subunit ribosomal RNA", at positions 354 to 796 of the family's 1533-position model. The record is from RNAcentral.